RNAcentral lists this ribosomal RNA (771 nucleotides) under Triticum aestivum (bread wheat). Its description in RNAcentral is "partial small subunit ribosomal RNA". Lineage: Eukaryota; Viridiplantae; Streptophyta; Magnoliopsida; Poales; Poaceae. The record is from RNAcentral.
AUGUUGAGGGCCGCGGAGCUCGCCGGCCUGCGCGUCACGAGGAUGAUCGACGAGCCGACCGCGGCCGCCGUCGCCCACGGCCUCCACAGUAAGCUGCGCGACGAGGGCAACGUCCUCGUCCUCCACAUCGGCGGCGGGACGUCAGACGCGAGCGUCAUGCCGUACGUGGACGGCGUCUUCGAGUUCAUGGGAGCAGACGAGGACCCUUUCCUCGGAGGACAGGAAUUGGACCAGAGGAUCGUCGACCACUUUGUCAAGCUGAUCAGGAAGAAGCACGGCAAGGACCUCAUGAGCAACGACGACAAGGGCGCCGCGCUGGGCAGGCUGAGGACGGCGUGCGAGCAGGCCAAGAAGGCGUUGAGCAGCCAAGACCUUGCCGAAUUUAGCAUCAAGUCGCUUGUGGAUGGCGUCGAUUUCUCGGGCUCGCUGACCCGGGCAGAGUUUGAGGAGCUGAACCAUGACCUGUUCCUUAAAGCCAUGGCGUUGGUGGAAAGUGCCAUGAGACAGGCUGGGCUAGACGAGAACAAGGAGCUGCUUGACGAGAUUGUGCUGGUUGGUGGAAGCACCAUGAUCCCGGCGAUUCGGAGACUCGUCGCCGAUUAUUUUGAUGGGAGGAGGAAGCUGAAAAAUGUCAAUGUGCCGGUGAUGCCGGAUCAAACUGUCACUCUUGGGGCGGCUCUUCUAAGCCAUCCUAGGGCAAACGGGUACCCAUGCAUGGGAGGGGAUAGGCGUCAGUGGGGAUACUCCACAGACUGGUGUUUUACCGACUGA